Molecule: ribosomal RNA, 230 nt
Filed under: uncultured bacterium
Lineage: Bacteria
Description: partial 16S ribosomal RNA
Rfam family: Bacterial small subunit ribosomal RNA
Source: RNAcentral
CGGUGAGUAACACGUAUCCAACCUGCCGUCUACUCUUGGACAGCCUUCUGAAAGGAAGAUUAAUACAAGAUGGCAUCAUGAGUCCGCAUGUUCACAUGAUUAAAGGUAUUCCGGUAGACGAUGGGGAUGCGUUCCAUUAGAUAGUAGGCGGGGUGACGGCCCACCUAGUCUUCGAUGGAUAGGGGUUCUGAGAGGAAGGUCCCCCACAUUGGAACUGAGACACGGUCCAA